Drosophila suzukii is the source of this 496-nucleotide non-coding RNA. NCBI's taxonomy places the organism in Eukaryota, Metazoa, Arthropoda, Insecta, Diptera, Drosophilidae. The record is from RefSeq and is a predicted model, not a curated record.
AUGCAAAAACAUCGAUGUCACUAUCGAUACUAUCGAUGUUUUUUAAAACAGCGAUGUAUCGAUGCUUUUUUUCGAACAUCGAUGUUAUCACUAAGAGAUACACACGCAAAGCAAGUGUUUGAUACAGGUAAAACAUAUUAGGGCGGUUCCUCUCGGCACAAUGGACAGGUUUCUGCACAUAACAAGACUUUCAGCAAGGCAGGACAAAUCGCGGACGAAAAGAGAUCUCGACUUAAACCUAAAACUUUGAACAUGCUGUUGUUUUUACAGAAAAACCAGUGGAUUAUUAGUUAAGAUAUAGAUAUCGAUUAGAUAAGUAAGAUAAGUAAGAACUGAACUGAACUGAACUGAACUGAACUGAAGUGAACUGAACUGAAAUAAUGUGAUUCCAUUUUUCUUUAUGAUUUCGUUAAAAUAUGUAUUAAGAUUAUGCUUUUUUAUUUGUUUCUGAAAAUAUUGUUGUUGUUUUGUUUGAAUAAAUAUAAGUUUAUAAUAA